GCGAGAGUGGCGAAAUUGGCAGACGCGCUGGAUUUAGGAUCCAGUGCCGCAAGGCGUGCGGGUUCAACUCCCGCCUCUCGCA
This 82-nucleotide transfer RNA is filed under the name Planctomycetota bacterium. RNAcentral describes it as "Planctomycetes bacterium tRNA-Leu". It matches the Rfam family "tRNA". From Rfam's summary of the family: Transfer RNA (tRNA) molecules are approximately 80 nucleotides in length. Their secondary structure includes four short double-helical elements and three loops (D, anti-codon, and T loops). Lineage: Bacteria; Pseudomonadati; Planctomycetota. The record is from RNAcentral. RNAcentral also lists the same sequence under 1 other name.